Balaenoptera musculus (blue whale) is the source of this 151-nucleotide small nucleolar RNA. Lineage: Eukaryota; Metazoa; Chordata; Mammalia; Artiodactyla; Balaenopteridae. The record is from Ensembl.
GGUGCACACUAUUAAAGCUCAGAGUGGAGGCCAGUCUUGGCCAAAGAACUUCUGAGUGUCGGAAGUGUGCUAUAUUAACGGCAGGAUUUUCGCUAACACCAGUAGAGCUUGCCUCUAUGACUGGAGUUUGAUAGUACUCGCUGCCACAUGC